AUCCCAGGGCUCAACCCUGGUUCGCUUUGGAUACUGGUAAACUAGAGUUGGAUAGAGGUAAGCGGAAUUCCAUGUGAAGCGGUGAAAUGCGUAGAUAUAUGGAAGAACACCAAAGGCGAAGGCAGCUUACUGGGUCUAUACUGACGCUGAGGGACGAAAGCGUGGGGAGCAAACAGGAUUAGAUACCCUGGUAGUCCACGCCGUAAACGAUGAUCAUUAGUCGGUGGAGAAUCACUGACGCAGCU
This 245-nucleotide ribosomal RNA is filed under the name Metamycoplasma buccale. RNAcentral describes it as "Mycoplasma buccale partial 16S rRNA". It matches the Rfam family "Bacterial small subunit ribosomal RNA", at positions 599 to 853 of the family's 1533-position model. The record is from RNAcentral. Lineage: Bacteria; Bacillati; Mycoplasmatota; Mycoplasmoidales; Metamycoplasmataceae.